Molecule: long non-coding RNA, 532 nt
Filed under: Nicotiana tabacum (common tobacco)
Lineage: Eukaryota; Viridiplantae; Streptophyta; Magnoliopsida; Solanales; Solanaceae
Description: long non-coding RNA (NTAB_LNC016767)
Source: RNAcentral
GUUUUGAAGUUAAUAUAUUUCAGUCUUUACAUUUAAGUUGAAGAAAUUGGGUUUCGUCCGCCCUCAAAUAGGAUAUUUUGGGUCUAUCCGCCCUCAAAUAGGAUGUUGAAUCUAUUUGACCCGAGUGGUCCGGCUUGUAUGAACAUUGCCAAAAUAUAUGUUUCAUAAAUCAUUGUCAAUGACAUUUUAUUUUCAAAGUUGUUGUUGAGGUCAGGAGCCCGCCUGAAGAAAGGAAAGGCGUUUUAUUUUUAAAAGUUGUUGAAAUCUCGCCAGCCUAAAGAAAGGAAUGACAUUUUAUUUUCAAAGUUGUUGUUGAAGUCAGGAGCCCGCCUGAAGAAAGGAAAGGUGUUUUAUUUUUAAAAGAUGUUGAAAUCUCGCCAGCCUAAAGAAAGGAAUGACAUUUUAUUUUCGAAGUUGCUGUUGAAGUCAGGAGCCCGCCUGAAGAGAGGAAAGGCGUUUUAUUUUUAAAAGUUGUUGAAAUCUCGCCAGCCUAAAGAAAGGAAUGGCAUUUUAUUUUCAAAGUUGUUGUUGA